CAUAGCGACUAUCGUGGCAUAUCAAUAAGCGGAGGAAAAGAAACUAACAAGGACUCCCUAGUAACGGCGAGUGAAGCGGGAAGAGCUCAAAUUUGAAAUCUUAAAGGUUUUCCCUUGACGAAUUGUAGUUUAAAGAAGUGUUUUCUGUUGGAGUUUCGGUAAAAGUUCUUUGGAAUAGGACAUCAUAGAGGGUGAGAAUCCCGUAUUUGACCGUUACUUUCCUAGCUGUGUGAUACACUUUCAAAGAGUCGGAUUGUUUGGGAAUGCAGUCCAAAAUGGGUGGUAAAUUUCAUCUAAAGCUAAAUAUUGGCGAGAGACCGAUAGCGAACAAGUACCGUGAGGGAAAGAUGAAAAGAACUUUGAAAAGAGAGUUAAACAGUACGUGAAAUUGUCAAAAGGGAAGCGUUUGACACCAGUGUUGUUUAGUUGAAAAUCAAUUCAAUAAUUUUUGAUUUUGAGUAGUAUUGACUUCAUCAGCUUGCUGCUUUCUUUUCAGAAAUUAUUGAAUGCACUUUUCAGUUAACAAGUCAACAUCAAUUUCUUUUGUUGUAAAAGGGUAAGAGGAAGGUGGCUUACGCUUCGGCGUCAAGUGUUUAUAGCCUUUUACCUCUGCAAUCGGAGAGAUUGAGGUACAUGCAGCGUAGACUCCUUCGGGGUUAGAUACACUUGAUGCUAAGCUAUAGCCUUGUAUAGACAACUUGUUGACUAUGCUCAGUCAUGUAGCUUACUCGUAGAUGCUAUUUUACCUACGCUUAGGAUGUUGACGCGCGUGUGUGCGUG
Molecule: ribosomal RNA, 780 nt
Filed under: uncultured Neocallimastigales
Lineage: Eukaryota; Fungi; Neocallimastigomycota; Neocallimastigomycetes; Neocallimastigales
Description: partial large subunit ribosomal RNA
Rfam family: Eukaryotic large subunit ribosomal RNA
Source: RNAcentral